Molecule: long non-coding RNA, 1286 nt
Filed under: Ornithorhynchus anatinus (platypus)
Lineage: Eukaryota; Metazoa; Chordata; Mammalia; Monotremata; Ornithorhynchidae
Description: lncRNA (ENSOANG00000047560.1)
Source: RNAcentral
AUGUCUGUGAAAUGUCGUCUUUGACCGCACCGCUUGUAAUAAGGGGAAGAAGAGGCUCUGGGCUAGGGAGCUAAGCGUCCCGAUUUUGAUUUCAGACUCAUUUUCCCAAGCCAAUAAAUAUGGAUGGAUCGCCGCCGUGAAUUGCGAUGGGUGAAAGGGGGUACUGACCUGAAAAAGAGGACCAUGCAGCCUAUCAACAAAAGUCAUGUGACUUGGAGAAGGUACUCAACCUACAAGUCUAGAGGCAAGCCCAUCAAGUCUCAGAGGUAUGUACACCAGGUAAUUUUGACAACAGAGCAUGAAAUGCUACAGCUCUCCUCCACCUCAAAACUCUGUGUUGCCCAUGCCUGUGGCUGGGUAUCCCUUCAGCACUUUGAUACUCACCCCAGUCCCACAGCACUUACGUCCAUAUCCCUUCUCACAAUUCAAGUCCAUAGUAAUGGAGUGGAUCCUGUUCCUUCCUCCAGUAAACUGUUUAUGAGAUCACUCCCAGCUAAUAUUAGGCCCAAUCACUAUGAAUAUACACAACAAACAGAGAGAGAGAGAGACAGAGAAAGAAAGCAUUAAUCCCAAAUGGUUUCUGUUCUACAGUCUGGAACGAGGCUGCAGAACAAGCUCCGUCACCUUUGGGUGCCCCAUUAUUCAUCUAACCAUUGUGCAGAGAUAUCAUAUAAAACAUGUCCCUUAAAAAAAAAAAAGAUAUUUGUUAAGUACUUACUAAGUGCCAGGCACUGUACUAAGCCCUGGGGUAAAUUGGUUUGGACAUAGCCCCUGUCUCCCAGCGGGUUCACAGUCUUAAUCCCCAUUUUACAGAUGAGGGAACUGAGGUACAGAGAAGUUAAGUUACUUGCCCAAGGUCACACAGCAGACAAGUGACAGAGCCAGGAUUAGAAGCCUAGAAACUCUAUAUUAUAGAGAGCCUUUUCCCCUAGGGAAGCAACCCACUGACAAUACAGGGAAGCUGGGGAGCUCUCCCCUGGGGUGAUGCCCACCAGGGACAGUGAUGGGAAGGAAAGUAUGAUUUGUGCUUGCCAGAUUGGCACCAGGUCUUUCCUGCAGGGGUUUUUUCUCCUUUUCUCCAUUCUCUGGUCGAUUGCCGGGGACAUGGCCAUCCAUGCUCUUCCAAUCCGGGAGCUCUUGCAACAGGAAAGAUCAGCUGCUGGAAAACCCAUGGAAGGCCUUUGGGGAGUGCCAUGGCCGCGAGGUAAUCAGCAGGCAAAGUUAUUAUCAUUAUGCCGCUAAUUAAUUCCCAGCUCAUUAUGUUUCCUGUGGCUAAUUUGUACUCG